RNAcentral lists this transfer RNA (65 nucleotides) under Marmota monax (woodchuck). RNAcentral describes it as "tRNA.Ala". The record is from RNAcentral. Lineage: Eukaryota; Metazoa; Chordata; Mammalia; Rodentia; Sciuridae.
GGUUGGCUCAGUGGUAGAGUGCUUGUUUUGCAUGUGUGAGGCACUGGGUUCAAUUCUCAGCACCA